Molecule: ribosomal RNA, 538 nt
Filed under: Caridella paski
Lineage: Eukaryota; Metazoa; Arthropoda; Malacostraca; Decapoda; Atyidae
Description: partial 16S ribosomal RNA
Rfam family: Bacterial large subunit ribosomal RNA
Source: RNAcentral
GUCUGUGCGGUGAGUUAUAUGCACAGUCUGGCCUGCCCCCUGAAUUUUAAAGGGCCGCGGUAUUUGAACCGUGCUAAGGUAGCAUAAUAAAUAGUCUUUUAAUUAGAGUCUAGUAUGAAUGGUCGGACGUGAGGUAAGCUGUUUUAGCUGUGAGAAUAGAAUUUUACUUUUAAGUCAAAAGGCUUAAAUUAAAUGGUGGGACGAUAAGACCCUAUAAAGCUUUACACUGUGUUCAUUAGUCGGGAGAUUUAAAGUUUCUUAUUCUUAUUGGAUGAGGUGUUUCGUUGGGGCGAUGAAAAUAUAAAGUGAUAACUGUUUUUAUUAAAAAAUAUGUUUUUAUAGGCGAUUUGAUCCUUUUUAUAGAUUAAAAGAUUUAAGUUACUUUAGGGAUAACAGCGUAAUUUUUCUUGAGAGUUCAUAUCGACAGAUGUAGUUGCGACCUCGAUGUUGAAUUAAAAUACCCCCAAGGUGUAGCAGUUUUGGUGGUGGGUCUGUUCGACCUUUAAAAUUUUACAUGAUUUGAGUUCAGACCGGCGUA